CCUACGGGUGGCAGCAGUGGGGGAUAUUGCACAAUGGGGGAAACCCUGAUGCAGCGACGCCGCGUGGGCGAAGAAGUAUUUCGGUAUGUAAAGCCCUAUCAGCAGGGAAGAAGAAAUGACGGUACCUGAGUAAGAAGCACCGGCUAAAUACGUGCCAGCAGCCGCGGUAAUACGUAUGGUGCAAGCGUUAUCCGGAUUUACGGGGUGAAAAGGGAGCGCAGGCGGCAGGGCAAGCCUGGUGUGAUAGCCCGUGGCCGAACCGGGGAACUGCAUUGGGAACUGUCGUGCUGGAGUGCAGGAGAGGUAGGCGGAAUUCCUAGUGUAGCGGUGAAAUGCGUAGAUAUUAGGAGGAACACCAGUGGCGAAGGCGGCCUACUGGACUGUGACUGACGCUGAGGCUCGAAAGCGUGGGGAGCAAACAGGAUUAGAUACCCCGGUAGUC
RNAcentral lists this ribosomal RNA (442 nucleotides) under uncultured bacterium. Its description in RNAcentral is "partial 16S ribosomal RNA". It matches the Rfam family "Bacterial small subunit ribosomal RNA", at positions 338 to 795 of the family's 1533-position model. The record is from RNAcentral.